CAGCCGCCACGGUAACACGAAGGGGGCUAGCGUUGCUCGGAAUUACUGGGCGUAAAGGGAGCGCAGGCGGUUGGAAUAGUCUGAUGUGAAAGCCCACGGCUUAACCGUGGAAUUGCAUUGGAAACUGUCCAACUUGAAUGCAGAAGAGGAAAGCGGAAUUCCAUGUGUAGCGGUGAAAUGCGUAGAUAUAUGGAGGAACACCAGUGGCGAAGGCGGCUUUCUGGUCUGUGAUUGACGCUGAUGCACGAAAGCUAGGGGAGCAAACAGGAUUAGAUACCCCAGUAGUCCCUGUCUCUUAUAC
Molecule: ribosomal RNA, 301 nt
Filed under: uncultured bacterium
Lineage: Bacteria
Description: partial 16S ribosomal RNA
Rfam family: Bacterial small subunit ribosomal RNA
Source: RNAcentral